RNAcentral lists this long non-coding RNA (1164 nucleotides) under Capra hircus (goat). RNAcentral describes it as "lncRNA (ENSCHIG00010025137.1)". The record is from RNAcentral. Lineage: Eukaryota; Metazoa; Chordata; Mammalia; Artiodactyla; Bovidae.
UAGACUUUGUGUAAAUGAAGUGCUGGACUUUACCUGAAAGCUGCAAAAAUUAAUGGUUUAGAUAUAUUUAUAAUAAACUGAUUUAAACAUUUAAACUUUUUCUAUAAGAAGAAAAAUUAAGACCACUUAUUUGAAAACACAGAUGAAGUUUCACCUUUCAAUCUGCUUUCUCAUUAGUUCCUUCCAAAGCAAGGUCUUAAAGCUGUGAUUGACAUUUUUCUCAUAAUGAAUCCUCUCAGGACAUUGUGUAGCCUGUGAGCAAGGCUGACAGGCAUAUAAGUGCACAGUCCCAACGGCAUGAAAGCAAGGAGUCAGAAUUCCCAUCCUCCUUGGCUCAAAGGAAACACAAAUGAAGCAGGUGUUCCAUUUUGAUGGCCAGGUCCUUCCAUCUUGUGGCUACCCAUCCCCUGGGCCUUGCUGUCAAUUGCAUCAAGAUAGAAGAAGGAACAGACAGUGGAGGAGGUAUGUCUGCUUCUUAAACUGUUUCAGCCCUGAAAGUAGCAUGCCUCAUUUCUGCUCACAUUUCAUUGGCAAGAGUUGGUCACAUGGCCACCUCAGGAUGCAAGGGAGGCUGGGAAAUACAGUUCCUGGCUGGAGAGCUGCUUCCUGGUCAUCACUGUAUCACAAGCCUUGGGAGCAGUGGGAUUUGUAGACAACAACCCUCUGUUGUGUAGCACACUUUGACAAGUUGACAACAGUAUGGCCAUAAAGAAUACAUUGAACUCAGUUAAUUCAGACUGGGAGAGAGGUCAAGAAAAGCUUUGGGGAGGGAGUGACGUUUGAGCUUUGUUUUAAGAAUCUAAGUAAACCAGGUGAAGAAGAAAGUGAUUUGGGGCAGAGAAAGCUUGUGAAACAUGAGGUAUAGAAGUAUAUGGCCUAUUCGGAGGACAAAAGUAGUGCAAUAUAUGUGGAUUGUAUUGUGGAGUCAGGAUAAGGAGGUGAGCCAAAAUGGGUGGCUAAAGAGGUUUUAGAUUCAUAGGAAAUGUUUGUAGGGUGUAGAAUCCACAAGGUUUGGCUGAGGGGUGAGGUCUGAGAGGUAGUAAGAGGCCACAUCACCUAAGGCCUUGUAACUGUGGGUGAAUUUUCAAUCUUACUGUAAAUAAGACAAAACUAAGGAGAGCUGGACUGUGAAGAAAGCUGAGUGCUGAAGAAUUGAUGCUUUUG